GAAAGAAUAGGUUCUAGUGCCACCGAUCUUACAUUUGGAGAUGAUAUUGAGGAAGAUAAACGAGAAUAAUGUCGCUCAGACUUGUAUAGUAGUGUUUCAUAUGACGUCACCUUUUACAAUAAGUCUGUAAAUAUCAUAUAUACAAAUGGUUUUGUAUGCGGAAUAUGUCAUUUAGUAAUGGGGAAACAGAGAGGCAGUGUCAUUUGAUCAAAAUCAUAAUUGCAGAUGAUAUGUACCACCACCACCACCACGUAAGAACAGUUGUCUAAAACAUUUUAACUGUUGUGAUAGAAUCAUCCCCCAGCUUAGUUUUAGAUGACUAUAAUCCUUUAUCUGUAUGCCUUUCGAUUUUCAUGCCCUUUUGUUUUGAGCUUUUCAUACCAUAUUUUCUGUAGGCCUUAUCUGUAAUUAGCAAUGAGUUUUAAAAUUACAGUUUUAAGUAAAGUAUAGUU
RNAcentral lists this long non-coding RNA (452 nucleotides) under Medicago truncatula (barrel medic). Its description in RNAcentral is "long non-coding RNA (MTRU_LNC005794)". The record is from RNAcentral. Lineage: Eukaryota; Viridiplantae; Streptophyta; Magnoliopsida; Fabales; Fabaceae.